This 548-nucleotide long non-coding RNA is filed under the name Homo sapiens (human). Its description in RNAcentral is "non-protein coding LINC00461:23". Lineage: Eukaryota; Metazoa; Chordata; Mammalia; Primates; Hominidae. The record is from RNAcentral.
AGUACAGUACUCCAGCAGGGCUUAUAUAGACAAACCAAACCCAGCCAAAUCAAACCUCCCCAAAUCCAACAUUUCCUGCAUGUCCAAAAUGGGAGACAGGCGCCUGAGUAACCCGGGGCAAGACGCCGAAAGAAGCCUGUUUGUGUGCUGCGGCCGUGCUGUGACUUUGGAUCUUGUCUUUCAGCCGGCGCCUCGGUUCCUGCCCAGCUGGAUUUGGGGGGCAGCAUUGCCUGGCGCAGGGAGAUCAAAUGAGACUGCAAAGAAGCAUAAAAUGAAUAGACAAUCCAACCAACCAAAGACCGGGGGCAGCAGCAGGCCAGCAAGACGGCAUCUUCUCCUUCCCAGCCUAGAAGCCCUGUGAAAUCGAGGAUCUUCCCCCUAAAACACAUACACACAAGAUAUGUGCAAUCAAGCUGCCACCGCUUGGUAAAAAGCCAUGGUGCCUAACCAAAAAGGAUCAGGAACAGAUCCUUGAAUCAGCUGUCACUUCUAUAGAAUGGGAUUUUUUUUUCCUUCCUCCUUAACCUGCGCUGGAAAUUGCCGUUGGC